AAAACUUUCAACAACGGAUCUCUUGGCUCUCGCAUCGAUGAAGAACGCAGCGAAAUGCGAUACGUAAUGUGAAUUGCAGAAUUCAGUGAAUCAUCGAAUCUUUGAACGCAUCUUGCACUCUCUGGUAUUCCGGAGAGUAUGUCUGUUUGGAGUGUCAUGA
RNAcentral lists this ribosomal RNA (160 nucleotides) under Sporobolomyces salmonicolor. RNAcentral's name for it is "Sporidiobolus salmonicolor 5.8S ribosomal RNA". It matches the Rfam family "5.8S ribosomal RNA". Rfam says of the family: 5.8S ribosomal RNA (5.8S rRNA) is a component of the large subunit of the eukaryotic ribosome. Lineage: Eukaryota; Fungi; Basidiomycota; Microbotryomycetes; Sporidiobolales; Sporidiobolaceae. The record is from RNAcentral.